This is an RNA transcript of Peromyscus eremicus (cactus mouse), 2634 nucleotides long. It is a transcript of the gene named tandem C2 domains, nuclear, with no coding region annotated. The transcript has 13 exons. NCBI's taxonomy places the organism in Eukaryota, Metazoa, Chordata, Mammalia, Rodentia, Cricetidae. The record is from RefSeq and is a predicted model, not a curated record.
UGCGAGGGGCGGGGCUCAGGGCGUGGCUUGGCGAGGUGCUGGGCGGAGCCGAGCGCUGAGGAGACCGAGCGCCGGGCGUCCGUUACAGGUGCCCGGGAGGAGUGACGGGGGCGCCUCCUCAGCGCUGGGUGCGGCGAGGGCGCCGGCGCCUCGGGAGCCUUAGGUGAAGACGCCAAAGAGAGCGCGAGACGUCGGCGGGGAGCUGCCUCGGCUCAGGUUGAUAUUGGAAGUUUUCUGGUUAUUAGAAAUUGAAUGUAAUGGCAGCAGAAUUUAUAAAGAGUUGCUGUAGAGGAUGUUUCUAUGGUGAAACAGAAAAGCACAAGUUUUCUGUGGAAAGGGACUUUAAAGCAUCAGUCUCAAAUAGCCAAAACACCAUCUGUACACCUCCAUUAACUUCUGUUUCAGUAAAGCCCCAAGUUGGCUGUAGUGAGGAUUAUUUGCUUUCCAAAUUACCGUGCGAUGGCAAAGAAGUACCAUUUGUGGUGCCCAGGUUUAAAUUAUCUUAUAUUCAGCCCAGAACACAAGGAACUCCAUCACACCUGGAUGAACUAGAAGGAUCUGCCAGAGCAUCUUUUGGAGAUCAAAAGGCAGAACUUUGCAGUUCAUUCUACCAUGGACCCAGCUAUGAUGUGUAUAAUCCAUGCUAUAUGUAUCAGCACUUUUCACCUGAUUUAAGUAGACGCUUUCCUCCUCAUUUUGAAACAACAAAAAAGUAUGGAUCUGUUUGUGAUUUAAGGACCAGUAAACUUCCUGGUUCCCCCGGGCUAAGCAAAUCUAUGUUUGAUCUUACAACUUCACCUCAACGAUUCAUCCAGAGACAUGACUCAUUGUCCAGUGUGCCUAGUAGUUCUUCUUCAAGGAAAAAUUCUCAGGGCAGUAACAGAAGUCUGGAUACAAUUACCCUAUCAGGAGAUGAAAGAGACUUGGGGAGAUUGAAUGUGAAAUUGUUUUAUAAUUCUUCAGCAGAGCAGAUCUGGAUCACAGUUUUGCAGUGCAGAGAUAUAAUUUGGCCCUCUAGUUGUGGAGAUACUCCCACAAUUUCUAUAAAAGGAAUUUUAACUUUGUCCAAACCAGUGCAUUUCAAAUCUUCAGCAAAAGAAGGUUCCAAUGCUAUUGAAUUUAUGGAAACUUUUGUAUUUGCUAUUAAACUACAAAGUCUACAAACUGUGAGGCUUGUAUUUAAGAUUCAAACCCAGACUCCCAGGAAGAAAACCAUUGGAGAAUGUUCUCUGUCACUCAGAACUCUCAGUACACAGGAAAUGGAUUACUCGUUGGAAAUAAUACCACCUUCAAAAAUUUCCGUUUGCCAUUCAGAACUUGAACUGGGCACUUGUUUUCAAGCAGUAAAUAGCAGGAUUCAGCUGCAAAUUCUUGAGGCACAGUACCUUCCAAGUUCAUCAACACCUCUGACUUUGAGUUUUUUUGUGAAGGUGGGGAUGUUUAGCUCAGGAGAGCUGAUUUAUAAAAAGAAGACACGCUUAUUGAAGGCAUCCAGUGGAAGAGUAAAAUGGGGAGAAACUAUGAUUUUUCCACUUACGCAGACUGAAAAAGAAAUUCUUUUCCUCAUUAAACUUUAUAGUCGAAGUUCUGUAAGAAGAAAACAUUUUGUAGGCCAGCUCUGGAUAAGUGAAGACAGUAAUAAUGUUGAAGCAGUGAACCAAUGGAAAGAGACAAUUACAAAUCCAGAAAAGGUUGUUAUCAAGUGGCACAAGUUAAAUCCAUCUUGAAGACUUCAGACAUUAAUUUAGUGAAGAAACAACUUGAUAGUCUUUUAGAAGAAACAUAAUUUCAGUUUUCUAAAGAUUGUAAUGCAUUCUAUCAGGAAGUUUGAAGCCAUCAGCAGUUCCAGUGGCAAUUUCAGGUGCAGUUGGGAAUUCAGGAAUCUCGAUGGAGCUGUUAGUGUAGCAGACCUUGUAGGUAAAAUAUAUGCAUCUUUCAAUAGCACAUGUGAAGGACUUUCUCUAAAAUUGACCUCAUUGGUUUCAUUCUCAGCAAACUGACCUGGUCCACUCAACAUGGCCUUUAUUUUUUGUGAUAUUAGUGCAUGUUCUAUUUUUACGAUGAAUUUAUUACCACCCGAAGGUAUUAAUUUGAUAUACAUGGCAUUAAGGCCUUCACAGCCACAGUAGGUUUUCUCCUCCAUCCAUUAUGUUAUUAUAAAAUGUUAUUAUAUUAUUAUAAAAUAUUACUUUGAUCCCAUAGGAACUUUGUUAGUUUCCCAUACACAUUCUGAGGCACUGGAAGGAAUAGCUUCUGCCAGAUUACAGCUGCUUUCUGCAACAGGAGGGAGAUUAGUCAACAAUGUCUUUAUAAAAUCUUAGAUAUCAAAGAAAGUUACAGCUUAUGUCAAAACAUUAUUUGGCAUUCAUUUAGUUUUGCAUAAUUUUUAAAGCAGGAAUCAUAAAAAUGACUCAAGUGUAUUAAUGUCAACUCUUCCCAGACUGUUGAGAAGAAACCAUUGGGAUUUCUGAACAUAUGUAAUUGUGGUCUAAAAGUAAACUAACCUGAAGUUUUCUUUGAAUAUAUUUUUGCAAAUUUCUUUGAUACUAAUAAACUCAUCAGCCAGUUAGAAAUCAUUUUCCAGCAAAAAUUUUCAUUGUUUAUAUGUUCAAAUAUUUGCACAUGUAUGAAAGA